UGGGAACCUGCCCAGUGGUAGGGGAUAACUGCGGGAAACUGCAGCUAAUACCCUAUGUGUCCUAUGGGAGAAAGAUUUAUCGCCAUUGGAGGGGCCCGCGUCGGAUUAGGUAGUUGGUGGGGUAAUGGCCCACCAAGCCUGCGAUCCGUAGCUGGUCUGAGAGGAUGAUCAGCCACACUGGGAUUGAGACACGGCCCAGACCUCCGUACGGGAGGCAG
RNAcentral lists this ribosomal RNA (218 nucleotides) under uncultured bacterium. RNAcentral's name for it is "partial 16S ribosomal RNA". It matches the Rfam family "Bacterial small subunit ribosomal RNA", at positions 118 to 351 of the family's 1533-position model. The record is from RNAcentral.